Pelobates cultripes (western spadefoot toad) is the source of this 503-nucleotide non-coding RNA. The record is from the annotation of a GenBank genome assembly. Lineage: Eukaryota; Metazoa; Chordata; Amphibia; Anura; Pelobatidae.
UCUUAAUAUUGUUACCCUUUUUAAAAAAUAGUUUUCAUAAUUUGAGGUAUUCUUGUUUUCUAAUUCAUCCUCCAAGAGGAGCGACUAUCAAAGGCUUUAUAAUGAUUUAGUGGGUUAAAACCCUGAAUUAUCUGCUGAAAUCUUAUUUUGGAGAAAAUCUUAUCUUUAUAUCUUAUCUUUGGAAUUUCUGUAUCUAAAACCUCUUCUGAAUUCCCUCUCUAAAAAAAAAAUCUAACAUGGGGUUCCAUAAAGUCGAUUAGCCAAGAUUCAGAGAAAUUGUACAGACAGGUAACAAAAUUUUAGACAAGUGGAAGUUUUAAAAACGAGAUUUUUAUACAAUGGUCUUGGUGCUUGAAAUGUUAUUGUAAAAUUGCUUUUACCUCCAUAUCCACGCAUGUUACCGGGAAACUGACGGAGGCCAAGCACAGAGAGAUGGACACAGGUUUCUUCAGGAAGGAAGAGAUCUUUAUUCGAUUCACCGACCGGGACUCAGAGGGACUUAU